CAGGCUCCAUUCUCCUUUGUUUCACUCAGGGGCCUGCUCAUGGUGGUGCUCAAGAAAUGCUACUGGAUGCAAAGAUAGAUGGAUGAUGGACGCAGCGAGGGAGGGAGGAAAGGAAGAGGGAUGAUGGAGAGGAGGGAGGAAAUGAUGGAUGAAUGGAGAGACGGAGAAAUGGUGGAUGGAUGGAGGGAUGAUGGAAGGAGAGAUGGAAGGAUACAGGCAUGACGAAUAGAUAGAUAGGUGGAUGGAUGGAGGGAUGAUGGAAGGAGAGAUGGAAGGAUACAGGCAUGACGAAUAGAUAGAUAG
This 303-nucleotide long non-coding RNA is filed under the name Equus caballus (horse). Its description in RNAcentral is "lncRNA (ENSECAG00000056439.1)". Lineage: Eukaryota; Metazoa; Chordata; Mammalia; Perissodactyla; Equidae. The record is from RNAcentral.